UCCAGCGGGGCGACCUGAAGCUGCUGCCGCCGGGACACGCGCGCACCUGGUUCCGCUGGAUGGAGAACAUACGGGACUGGUGCAUCUCCCGGCAGCUCUGGUGGGGCCACCGCAUCCCGGCCUAUUUCGUCACCGUGCGGGACCCCAGCGUGGCCCCCGGGCAG
Nothoprocta perdicaria is the source of this 164-nucleotide long non-coding RNA. RefSeq lists it as uncharacterized. Lineage: Eukaryota; Metazoa; Chordata; Aves; Tinamiformes; Tinamidae. The transcript is spliced from 2 exons. The record is from RefSeq and is a predicted model, not a curated record.